AGUUUGAUCAUGGCUCAGGAUGAACGCUGGCGGCGUGCUUAACACAUGCAAGUCGAACGAUGAUCCCCAGCUUGCAUGGGGGAUUAGUGGCGAACGGGUGAGUAACACGUGAGUAACCUGCCCUUAACUCUGGGAUAAGCCUGGGAAACUGGGUCUAAUACCGGAUAUGACUCCUCAUCGCAUGGUGGGGGGUGGAAAGCUUUUGUGGUUUUGGAUGGACUCGCGGCCUAUCAGCUUGUUGGUGAGGUAAUGGCUCACCAAGGCGACGACGGGUAGCCGGCCUGAGAGGGUGACCGGCCACACUGGGACUGAGACACGGCCCAGACUCCUACGGGAGGCAGCAGUGGGGAAUAUUGCACAAUGGGCGGAAGCCUGAUGCAGCGACGCCGCGUGAGGGAUGACGGCCUUCGGGUUGUAAACCUCUUUCAGUAGGGAAGAAGCGAGAGUGACGGUACCUGCAGAAGAAGCGCCGGCUAACUACGUGCCAGCAGCCGCGGUAAUACGUAGGGCGCAAGCGUUAUCCGGAAUUAUUGGGCGUAAAGAGCUCGUAGGCGGUUUGUCGCGUCUGCCGUGAAAGUCCGGGGCUCAACUCCGGAUCUGCGGUGGGUACGGGCAGACUAGAGUGAUGUAGGGGAGACUGGAAUUCCUGGUGUAGCGGUGAAAUGCGCAGAUAUCAGGAGGAACACCGAUGGCGAAGGCAGGUCUCUGGGCAUU
RNAcentral lists this ribosomal RNA (714 nucleotides) under Arthrobacter sp. SMCC G965. RNAcentral describes it as "bacterial SSU rRNA". It matches the Rfam family "Bacterial small subunit ribosomal RNA", at positions 10 to 737 of the family's 1533-position model. The record is from RNAcentral. Lineage: Bacteria; Bacillati; Actinomycetota; Actinomycetes; Micrococcales; Micrococcaceae.